This is a long non-coding RNA of Thalassophryne amazonica, 529 nucleotides long. RefSeq lists it as uncharacterized. The record is from RefSeq and is a predicted model, not a curated record. NCBI's taxonomy places the organism in Eukaryota, Metazoa, Chordata, Actinopteri, Batrachoidiformes, Batrachoididae. The transcript has 3 exons.
AUGGUACAGAUCAAAUGAGGUUAAAACAGCUUUUGGGUUCAUGGGGCGAAAGUGGAGGGAAAGACUGUAAAGUGUCAAUCAGGUCCUUUGUCACCUUUGACCUCUGUGCCGUCUUCCUGACGUCAACAUUUGAGACUGAAAAUGGAGUUCAUAAACAAGAGCCCGGCUUAAAUUAGUAUCUUUAUUAGUUCCCGUCAGGAGUCGCUAUUCAUCACUGUGGCUGUAAAGGGAGCAGCACUUAAAACACCACACAUCAAACACACCAAGCAGAAGGCGGCGUACGGGGGCCGCGCAACACGCGGGUGCGAGUAAUGAGUUCGUUGGAGUGCAGGUUCUCCUGCGGCGGGUGAGGACGUGGAUGGCGGUGAUGAGGUUGACUGGUUGCUUUCAUGUCUUUCAAGGGCGGAACUGUCAUAUGUUACAAACUGACACAAAAUAAACACUAAAACAUCAGUCUCUACAGUGUGUGUGUGUGUGUGUGUGUGCUCACGUGUGUGUGUGUGUGUGUGUGUGUGUGUGUGUGUGUGUG